GAAAUGCGAUACGCAAUGCGAAUUGCAGAAUUCCGCGAGUCAUCAGAUCUUUGAACGCAGCCGGCGCUGGGAGGCUCUCCUCCCAGCAUGCUUGUUUCAGUGUGUACGGUUGACAUCAAACACUCAAGUGCGAUUGAGGAAACGACCUUUAAUUAGGAAGUUCCCUCUCUCGCUAAACGAGAAUACGUGAGGUCGUUGCUCGACCAGCGAAGUGGUCACUGUUUACCAGUGAAUUCGUUGGACAAAAAGAGCUCCGACCAAAAAAAGCACGCAUUUUAUAACUACAACCUCUUCAAUCAGCACCUGAAAUCAAGCAAGAACACCCACUGAACUUAA
Molecule: unclassified non-coding RNA, 336 nt
Filed under: uncultured fungus
Lineage: Eukaryota; Fungi
Description: sequence contains ITS1
Rfam family: 5.8S ribosomal RNA (bases 1-105)
Source: RNAcentral